This 350-nucleotide unclassified non-coding RNA is filed under the name soil metagenome. RNAcentral's name for it is "partial contains 5.8S ribosomal RNA, internal transcribed spacer 2, and large subunit ribosomal RNA". The stretch from base 1 to 120 matches the Rfam family "5.8S ribosomal RNA", at positions 35 to 154 of the family's 154-position model. The record is from RNAcentral.
GAUGAAGAACGCAGCGAAAUGCGAUACGUAGUGUGAAUUGCAGAAUUCAGUGAAUCAUCGAAUCUUUGAACGCACAUUGCACCUCUCGGUAUUCCGGGAGGUAUGCCUGUUCGAGCGUCAUUAUCACCCCUCAAGCCCGGCUUGUUGUUGGAUGCAGCGCUUAUCCCGCUCCUCCCAAAGAUAAUGACGGCGUCUGCGACGACUCCUGUACACUGAGCUUUCGGGCACGUACACGGCUAGAAGUCCAGACCCGGUCGCCGUCCCCCCCGCGGGGACACCCAUUACCACAAGGUUGACCUCGGAUCAGGUAGGAAUACCCGCUGAACUUAAGCAUAUCAAUAAGCGGAGGA